GUCUACGGCCAUACCACCCUGAACACUCCCAAUCACAUCUGAUCUUGGAAGCUAAGGAGGGUCGGACCUGGUUAGUACUUGGAUGGGAGAAAUGCAUUGUGUUGCUCAGAAC
This is a non-coding RNA of Mesocricetus auratus (golden hamster), 112 nucleotides long. The record is from Rfam. NCBI's taxonomy places the organism in Eukaryota, Metazoa, Chordata, Mammalia, Rodentia, Cricetidae.